This 486-nucleotide ribosomal RNA is filed under the name uncultured bacterium. RNAcentral's name for it is "partial 16S ribosomal RNA". It matches the Rfam family "Bacterial small subunit ribosomal RNA", at positions 30 to 507 of the family's 1533-position model. The record is from RNAcentral.
AUUGAACGCUGGCGGCAUGCCUUACACAUGCAAGUCGAACGGCAGCACGGGUGCUUGCACCUGGUGGCGAGUGGCGAACGGGUGAGUAAUACAUCGGAACAUGUCCUGUAGUGGGGGAUAGCCCGGCGAAAGCCGGAUUAAUACCGCAUACGAUCUAUGGAUGAAAGCGGGGGACCUUCGGGCCUCGCGCUAUAGGGUUGGCCGAUGGCUGAUUAGCUAGUUGGUGGGGUAAAGGCCUACCAAGGCGACGAUCAGUAGCUGGUCUGAGAGGACGACCAGCCACACUGGGACUGAGACACGGCCCAGACUCCUACGGGAGGCAGCAGUGGGGAAUUUUGGACAAUGGGCGAAAGCCUGAUCCAGCAAUGCCGCGUGUGUGAAGAAGGCCUUCGGGUUGUAAAGCACUUUUGUCCGGAAAGAAAUCCUUGGCCCUAAUACGGUCGGGGGAUGACGGUACCGGAAGAAUAAGCACCGGCUAACUACGUG